RNAcentral lists this ribosomal RNA (454 nucleotides) under uncultured Ceratobasidiaceae. RNAcentral's name for it is "eukaryotic LSU rRNA". The stretch from base 1 to 105 matches the Rfam family "5.8S ribosomal RNA", at positions 50 to 154 of the family's 154-position model. Lineage: Eukaryota; Fungi; Basidiomycota; Agaricomycetes; Cantharellales; Ceratobasidiaceae. The record is from RNAcentral.
GAAAUGCGAUAAGUAAUGUGAAUUGCAGAAUUCAGUGAAUCAUCGAAUCUUUGAACGCACCUUGCGCUCCUUGGUAUUCCUUGGAGCAUGCCUGUUUGAGUAUCAUGAGCAAAUCUCAAAGUCGAUCCUUUUGUUAAUUCAAUUGGGUUUGCUUUGGACUUGGAGGUCUUGCAGAUUUCACCGUCUGCUCCUCUUAAAUGCAUUAGCUGGAUCUCAGUAUUAUGCUUGGUUCCACUCGGCGUGAUAAGUAUCACUCGCUGAGGACACUGAUAAAAAAGGUGGCCAGGAAAAUAUUGAUUGAACCGCUUCUAACGGUCUAUUAACUUAGACAAUUACCCUUAAGUUUGAUCUCAAAUCAGGUAGGACUACCCGCUGAACUUAAGCAUAUCAAUAAGCGGAGGAAAAGAACUAACAAGGAUUCCCCUAGUAACCUAGACUGCAAGGCACACAGGGG